This 389-nucleotide ribosomal RNA is filed under the name uncultured bacterium. Its description in RNAcentral is "bacterial SSU rRNA". It matches the Rfam family "Bacterial small subunit ribosomal RNA", at positions 28 to 416 of the family's 1533-position model. The record is from RNAcentral.
GACGAACGCUGGCGGCGUGCUUAACACAUGCAAGUCGAGCGGUAAGGCCCUUUCGGGGGUACGACGAGCGGCGAACGGGUGAGUAACACGUGGGUGACCUGCCCUCAGCUCUGGGGUAAGGCCUGGGAAACCGGGUCUAAUACCGGAUAUGACUCCAUGACGCAUGUUGUGGGGUGGAAAGCCUUGUGCGGCUGAGGAUGGGCCCGCGGCCUAUCAGCUUGUUGGUGGGGUGAUGGCCACCAAGGCGACGACGGGUAGCCGGCCUGAGAGGGCGACCGGCCACACUGGGACUGAGACACGGCCCACGACUCCUACGGGAGGCAGCAGUGGGGAAUCUUGCGCAAUGGGCGAAAGCCUGACGCAGCGACGCCGCGUGAGGGAUGACGGCC